CCUACGGGAGACAGCAGUGAGGAAUAUUGGUCAAUGGACGAGAGUCUGAACCAGCCAAGUAGCGUGAAGGAUGACUGCCCUAUGGGUUGUAAACUUCUUUUAUAUGGGAAUAAAGUGUUCCACGUGUGGGAUUUUGUAUGUACCAUAUGAAUAAGGAUCGGCUAACUCCGUGCCAGCAGCCGCGGUAAUACGGAGGAUCCGAGCGUUAUCCGGAUUUAUUGGGUUUAAAGGGAGCGUAGGUGGAUUGUUAAGUCAGUUGUGAAAGUUUGCGGCUCAACCGUAAAAUUGCAGUUGAAACUGGCAGUCUUGAGUACAGUAGAGGUGGGCGGAAUUCGUGGUGUAGCGGUGAAAUGCUUAGAUAUCACGAAGAACUCCGAUUGCGAAGGCAGUUCACUGGACUGCAACUGACACUGAGGCUCGAAAGUGUGGGUAUCAAACAGGAUUAGAUACCCUUGUAGUC
Molecule: ribosomal RNA, 460 nt
Filed under: uncultured bacterium
Lineage: Bacteria
Description: partial 16S ribosomal RNA
Rfam family: Bacterial small subunit ribosomal RNA
Source: RNAcentral